UCCACAGCCGCAAUAGCCGCCUCCCUCAUCUGUUCACACUGCCCUAUCACUUCGAAUCCUUCAGGGACUCCCAGGCUCAACCCUUGGCACAGCUUACAGGGCCAUUACUGAUCGGCUACAGCCCAUUUUCUCAGUUGCAUUUCCAACUUCCUCUGCUUGCCAGAAUGGGGA
Ceratotherium simum simum (southern white rhinoceros) is the source of this 171-nucleotide non-coding RNA. The record is from RefSeq and is a predicted model, not a curated record. Lineage: Eukaryota; Metazoa; Chordata; Mammalia; Perissodactyla; Rhinocerotidae.